UUUAAAGCCCUCACAACCACAUAAAACUCUUUAUCAUAGGUAGACCACUUUCGACUUGGCUCACUCAACUUUUCACUAAAGAAGGAAAUUAAUCUCUUUUCUUAGGAAAGCACAACACCUAUUCCCAAACCACUAGCAUCACAUUCAACUUCAAAUAAUUUCUCAAAAUUAGGAAAUGCUAGAACAAAGAUUGUACAUGGCUUCUCUUUAAUCAAGGCAAAGCUCUUCUUUGCUCCUCAUCCCAUUGGA
This 249-nucleotide unclassified non-coding RNA is filed under the name Hevea brasiliensis (rubber tree). Lineage: Eukaryota; Viridiplantae; Streptophyta; Magnoliopsida; Malpighiales; Euphorbiaceae. The record is from RNAcentral.